GGAGGGGAGGGCAGGGCUGGGCUGGGGUGGGGUGGUCGACGGAGAGAUUGGGGAACCUGGAAUAAUCCAUUCCCAAUUCUCCAAUCUCUUCCCUCCCUUCCCUUCGUCAAUCUCCAGCUCUCAUCCAGCAGCAACAGGAGGAGAACGCAGGAUCCUGUGUAUGCCUCCUCCAAAACGAACAGCAACAAACAGCAAGGGGGCAGAGGGAUACGCAUGUGUGUUCAUGGAUCAUGGUUCCCCACUUAGCUCCUGAUGCGCCAGCCUCGUCACCGCAGAUUGAUUGAUCGAUUGAUUACUAGCUAGUCCAUUCACAUUGACAAAGAGCGCCUCCUUCAAUUUGAUGGGCAUUCCGUUGACAUCUCAACUCCAACGCCAACAGUUGAUGCUAGUAUGGUUGGAAAUAGGACAUGGUUUGGAGGGCUCUUCAACAGCUCAGGCAAAAGGCGACAAGUCAGUGCAGAGAAGUUAGUGCUUGAUCUGACCCCUCUUCAGGAACAGAGAUUGCAAAAAUUGAAGGAAAGGCUAAAUGUACCUUAUGAUGAAACUCGGCCGGAACAUCAGGUAAGAAACGGC
Molecule: long non-coding RNA, 573 nt
Organism: Panicum virgatum (switchgrass)
Lineage: Eukaryota; Viridiplantae; Streptophyta; Magnoliopsida; Poales; Poaceae
Exons: 3
Source: RefSeq, a predicted model, not a curated record